AUUUAAAUAGCUUAUAUAACAGAGUAUAAUAUUGAAGAUAUUAGGGAGAUUAAUUAAUCUUUAAAUA
Molecule: transfer RNA, 67 nt
Filed under: Prophantis octoguttalis
Lineage: Eukaryota; Metazoa; Arthropoda; Insecta; Lepidoptera; Crambidae
Description: tRNA-Phe
Source: RNAcentral